AGUGAACGCUGGCGGUAGGCCUAACACAUGCAAGUCGAACGGCAGCACAGUAAGAGCUUGCUCUUACGGGGGGCGAGUGGCGGACGGGUGAGGAAUACAUCGGAAUCUACUUUUUCGGGGGGGAUAACGUAGGGAAACUUACGCUAAUACCGCAUACGACCUACGGGUGAAAGCAGGGGAUCGUCGGACCUUGCGGGAUUGAAUGAGCCGAUGUGGGAUUAGAUAGUUGGUGGGGUAAAGGCCCACGAGGGCGACGAUCCGUAGCUGGUGUGAGAGGAGGGUCGGCCGCAUUGGAACUGAGACACGGACCAGAGUACUGCGGGAGGCAGCAGUGGCGAACGUUGGGCAACGGGGGGAAACCUGGCACAGCCGUCCCGAGUCGGUUAAGGAGACGUCGGGGUUGUGAAGACGUUUUGUUGGGUAAGAACAGCAGCAGGUUAAUACGAAGCUGUUCUGACGGUAACGAAAGAAUAAGCACCGGCUAACUUCGUG
This 492-nucleotide ribosomal RNA is filed under the name uncultured bacterium. Its description in RNAcentral is "partial 16S ribosomal RNA". It matches the Rfam family "Bacterial small subunit ribosomal RNA", at positions 30 to 507 of the family's 1533-position model. The record is from RNAcentral.